GCACCCGUAGUUCAAUGGAUAGAAUUGUGGUUUCCGGUACCAUCGAUAGGGGUUCGAGUCCCUUCGGGUGCACAA
RNAcentral lists this transfer RNA (75 nucleotides) under Runella slithyformis. RNAcentral's name for it is "tRNA-Arg". It matches the Rfam family "tRNA". From Rfam's summary of the family: Transfer RNA (tRNA) molecules are approximately 80 nucleotides in length. Their secondary structure includes four short double-helical elements and three loops (D, anti-codon, and T loops). RNAcentral also lists the same sequence under 1 other name. The record is from RNAcentral. Lineage: Bacteria; Pseudomonadati; Bacteroidota; Cytophagia; Cytophagales; Spirosomataceae.